CACUGAACUGUUUGGGUUCUUGUUGACUCAGGUGUUGUCAAUCAGCGUUCAUCAAGCCCACAGCAAACAAAACUGAAUGGUUGUGAGUUAAUGCUGCUACACAGUCACAUACAGUAGGUGGCAGCAUACACCUAGAAGUUGCUUGUGAUCCUCCAUAACAGAAAAGAAGAAGAAAAGGAAGAACGCGAAUGAUAAUUUGCUCAGUGUGAAGACGUCUUUCCUGAGUCCAAACCCCUGCAGGCUGCAGGCAACAUGAUGAAGAGACGUUCACUGAACUGUGACAGUGGCUAACACUCCAGAAGAGAGGUGGGUGUGUCUCAGUGAGGACAGAACGAGAGGCUGCAGAAAAAAGCAGACGACUGGACUCAGAGGAGACGACAAGAUGAGGAUGUCUGCUUCCCAGCUAUUUAGAACUGGAUUCUUGAAUGUUUCAG
Molecule: long non-coding RNA, 434 nt
Organism: Gambusia affinis (western mosquitofish)
Lineage: Eukaryota; Metazoa; Chordata; Actinopteri; Cyprinodontiformes; Poeciliidae
Exons: 4
Source: RefSeq, a predicted model, not a curated record